Molecule: non-coding RNA, 82 nt
Organism: Angiostrongylus costaricensis
Lineage: Eukaryota; Metazoa; Nematoda; Chromadorea; Rhabditida; Metastrongylidae
Source: Rfam
GCAGCGAUGUCCGAGUGGUUAAGGAGAUUGACUAGAAAUCAAUUGGGCUCUGCCGGCGUUGGUUCGAAUCCUCCUCGCUGCG